GCCAGGAUUGAACCUGCGUCCUGAAGCCCUGUUUUAGGAUUUGUUUAAGCCCUGUUUUAGGAGUUGUUUAACCUCCAUAAAAAUGUUUGAUAGAGUUAUAAAAAUAAAAACAUUCCUUCAACUCAAAGCAUUUUGGUGAAGGAAAUGAAAGGCAUUACAGUAAUUUAUGCUUUCUGUGCCUUGUGAAUUUCAGCUUCAUAGUUGAGGAGGCCAUAACAUGCAGUUAAAUUCUGAAUGAGGCCAAUGAUUCAAAGGUUUUCCUACAAAGAAGCCUGUAGUAUGCAAGGAUCCACUUCAAAAGGUAGAGUGGGGUGGGGAGAGGGGAGAGUCCCCCUGCACAGUGACCAUGCUCUGUUCCUGGCGUCUCCCUGAGUAGGGGAUCAAGCCUUGGAUGAAGCCUAGGUUUUAGGUUUAAAAGGAGAGACCAGUGGGAAGGGGAAGAAUGGAGAAAGAGCAAGCUUCUGACAUAUAGGUCAAGAGGUCUAUUUUGGGAGAGAGGUUUGGGGCACCUAAUAAACAGCCACAUGGGGAUGAACUUGCUAUUUGAAUGUACUAGUCUGGAACUAAGCAAGUUACAAAAGAGUAUGUAUAGGCUUUCUUGUGAAAUAACUUGGGAGCCGUCAGCAUAGGGACUGCAUGAGAUAAUGAGGGGAUGAAGGAUCUUAUGGAAGACAGUCUUCCAGGCCUAGAUGGCAGAGGAAACAAAUGCCCUUUAGCAAAAAGGAAGAAGGAAGGCAAAGCAAAACUAAAGUUAAAGCCAAAGUAAAACCUAAUAAAACAAGUGUGAUAGGAGUUCCUGUCGUGGCUCAGUGGUAAACAAUAUGACUAGUAUCCACGAGCAUGUGGGUUCGCUACAUGGCCUGGCUCAGGGGUUAAGGAUCCGGUGUUGCUAUGAGUUGUGGUGUAGGUUACAGAUGUGGCUUGGAUCAAGAGUUGAUGUGGCUGUGGUGUAGGCCAGCAGCUGUAGCUCCAAUUCAACCCCUUGCCUGGGAACUUACAUAUGCCUAUGGUAAGGACCUAAAAAGACAAGUAAAUAAAUAAAAAGUAAAAUAAAAAAAAAAGUCUGAUAAGUAAAGAAUAACUUGAAGUGAAAUCUAAACAGAUGACAAUAUAACAGAGCGAAAUGCAAUAAUAUAAAGGUUUAAAAAUUUUGCUUCACAAAAUAGAAGAUGAAUAUUGCAACAGCAAAUAAAACAGGAGUCCGAAUCCAAAGUUCUAAGUAAUUCAAAUGGGGAGCCAGGAUAGUAAAUACAAACUUUUAUUUCUGUAUGUACAUAUGGAUAUUUUGUACCUUGUGAAUAGGAAAUACAUAGCCUUCUUUUUCCCAAUGGGACAUAAAUUUACAGAAAAUGAUUAGGUAUGUGUCUGAAAAGAAGACACCAAAAUUCCUUGAAGUGAAUGAAGAAAGGAAAAAACAAGAAAAAGAAAGAAAGAAAGAAAGGAGGAAGGAAGGAAAGAAGGAAAGAAGGGAACCAUAAAGUUCUAAGUGCCUGUCAAAAAAUAGUCUUCUGAGAGUGUCUGGUGUGGCAUAUUGGGUUAAGAAUCCAACUGCAGCAGCUCUGGUGCAUGGGAAGGUGAGAGUUUGAUCUAGUACCCUGUGCAAUGCUUUAUAGGAUCCACUGUUAGCAUAACUAUGACACUGCAGCUACAGCUCAGAUACAAUCCCUGGCUGGGGGAACUUCCAUAUGCUGCAGGUGCAGCCAUUAAAAAAAACAAAAAACAAAAGUCUUCUAACUAAACCAAGCAUCAAAAAUGCAAUAAAAAUACAAAGUUCAAGCUAUUUAGACAUAAAUGUAACAAUCAAGAAUGCUUUAUUCCUAACAAAACUGGGAUGAUGCUGAAUUCACAAGAAAAUGUAUAGCUUUAAAUGCUUUUAUUUAAAAAAAAAAAGAAGAUAAUUAACUACUCAACCUAAGGAAUUAAGGAACCUAACAAAAUAAAUUUAAAGAAAAGAAGGAUCAGAAAACAAAAGUAAAGUAAAUUGGCUAGUGACCAAUUUAUAUAUUAGCUGAUUCUAUAAACGUUUACUGAGCAGUGCCUAGGAGCUGUUUUUUGUUGUUGUCUGUUUGGUUUUUGCUACUCCUCUGGAUUCAGUGGAUGUGGCAGGAAAGGAUACACAAUAAUAAAUAGAUCAAAAAACUUAAUAGAUGAAUAACUGAUGUACAUAUUCCAUCCUCAGUGAGAAGGAGCAUAACUCCCUACUCUUUAAGUACAAUAUGGAAACUUUACUUUGCGGAAAAGGGAAAACACUAAUCAGCAACAUUAUCAAGAAGAACAUCAACAGUGAUAAAUCCUGUUGAUAGUGUGUAGCUUUGAUAUGAUGUGGUGAAAAUGGCCCAUCACCACUCUGGGGUUCCUCCCCAAAUGCCAUAACCCCAGUGUCAUCAUGAGAGAAAAAUCAGACAAGUUUCAAGAGAAGAGGAUCCUACAAAUUACCUGACUGGUACUCUGCAAAGUUACCAAAAACAAGGAAAGACUGAGAAACUGUGGUAGCUGAAAGGGGUCCUAAAGAGUCAUGGCAAACAACCAAAGGUCAGUGCAGUAUCCUGGAUGGGAUCUUGCAACAGAAAAAGAACAUUAGGUCAAACUAAGGAAAUGUGAAUCAAGGAUGAUCUUUAGUUAAUAAUAAUACCUUAUUAAUUGAGACCAACUAGAGGAGGAAACUGGAUGUGGAGUAUAUGGGAAUUCUUUGUGCUAGUUUCUCAUGUUUUUCUGUAAAUCUAAAACGGUGCUAACAAAUAAAGUCUAUUGGAAAUUUUAAAAAUAAAUAAGUGAUUUCAGAUAGUGACACAAAUUGUAAAGACUGUUGGAGUUCUCAGUGGCACAGUGAAUUAAGAAUCUGGUGUUGCCACUGCAGUAGCUCAGGUCCCUGCAGUGGUGCGGGUUUGACCAGGGCCCAGGGAACUUCCACAUUCUGUGAGCAUACUCAAACAAGCAAACAAACAAACAAAGGAAUUUAAAACAGGGUAAUACAACAGAUGUGCAUGUGGAGGAAGGGGGAUCAGCAAAGUUUCCUCUGAGGCAUUGAGCUAAGACUCUCAGAAUGAGGGAGGGUACGCCUUGUGAAUAUCUUAGGGUAGAUGUUCCAGACAGAGGGACAACAUCAGAAUAAAAAACCAAGCAAGCAAACAAAGGAGCAAUUACACUGAAAGCUGGUUAUUCAAAAAGACAAACAAAGUAAGCAACACUGGCAUCCUGAGGAAAGAAAAAAAGUGAAAAUACAUAAUACGGAGACAAAGAAAUAAGACAAUGAAUAGGGAAAUAAUUUGAAAAAAUGAGAAGAUUAUGUACAAUUCACUGACAUUGCCUUGGGAACUGAACACUUUUCAAGCAAAAUAUAGAUGACUAAAAGUAAUAAGACUGGAGAAAACAAAAUGAAAAUAUUGCUACAGCCUAUUUUAAAGUAAGCAAAGAAACGGUUGAAUUUCACCAAAUUUUAAGUGAUAAUUAUUAUUUAAUUUAAACUGUCUCAGAAAAAGAAAAAAAGUAAAAAGCUUUAUAAUUAACUGUAUUAUAAAGACAGUGUAAAGACAGUAUAUCCUAAUACUGAAGUCUAAUAGACCUAGCAUAGAAAAAGGAACUCUAAUUUUAUUUAUAAAAGUAAAUGUAUUAAAUAGAACGUUAGCCCAUUGUAUUCAGUCUUAUAAUAAACUAUGACCAAGUAUAGUUUAUUUUAGUUGUAUAAGGAUGAGGCAACCUUAAAAAAAUCUAUCAAUUUAUAUUAACAAAUUAAAAUAAAAAUAUAU
RNAcentral lists this long non-coding RNA (3746 nucleotides) under Sus scrofa (pig). RNAcentral's name for it is "lncRNA (ENSSSCG00030035960.1)". The record is from RNAcentral. Lineage: Eukaryota; Metazoa; Chordata; Mammalia; Artiodactyla; Suidae.